Molecule: long non-coding RNA, 816 nt
Organism: Brassica oleracea var. oleracea
Lineage: Eukaryota; Viridiplantae; Streptophyta; Magnoliopsida; Brassicales; Brassicaceae
Exons: 2
Source: RefSeq, a predicted model, not a curated record
UGGCUCAUGCUCAUUGGCUUCUUCAUUUAUCACGAAAGAGAAAAAAAAAAGUCGUGUCUUCUCUUUCGUAAGUCGGCUGGUCUCUCUCUUCUCCGAUUUCAUCGUCGCAUCUCUCUCUUUUCGUCAUCGAUUCUGUCGAAAUCUCCAACGGAGAUGAUGUGUGAUCCGUUUCUUCGUCGUCGAUUCUCUCUCCCUUCAUCGAUUUUGUCGAAAUCGCUUCGUCGGCUGGUGUCUUUCUUCGUGGUCGAUUCUUCAUCGAUCUGUUUCUUUCUUCGUCGAUGUUCUCCUCCAGAUCCGUCCAUGCAAUCACCGUGAAGAUUUCCGAGCUUGGUAUCUAUCCUGCUGUGGAUCCUCUGGAUUCAACAUCCCGUAUGCUCUCACCUCACAUUCUGGUGAGGUCUUUUCCAUUCCAUGUUGCUGAGGUCUUCACAGGUGCCCCUGGCAAAUACGUCGACCUUAAUGAAAACAUCAACAGUUUCCAGGUAUGUAUAUGCCCAUAUGACUUUCUUCCCUGUUGCAGGGUUUACUCGAUGGCAAGUACAAUGAUCUUCCUGAACAAUCGUUUUACAUGGUUGGUGGCAUCGACGAGGUGGUUGCAAAAGCAGAGAAGAUUUAUAAGGAGGCAGCAGCUUAAGUGCUUGAUUCAUCUCUUUUGGAUGCCCUCUUCUCAUUUUCUUCUUUUGCCUCCUUUACUUGUUGAAAUAAAGGUUUUAAGUCUUGCAGAUUCUUGUUGCAAUGUAUGAUUAUGAUUGCUUGAUUUUAGUCUCUUGUUUUGUGUUCAGACUUCAUAGAAUGGUGUAAGUCAUUUAAUCAUCA